AUGUCCGGAGGAUCAGCUAGGAGCCUGGGCAAGGGAAGCGCGCCCCCCGGGCCCAUCCCUGAGGGCCUGAUCAGUGUCUACAGCAUGAGGUUCUGCCUGUAUGCCUAGAGCACUCGCCUGGUCCUGACCACGAAGGGUAUCCGGCAUGAAGUUAUCAACAUAAAUCUGAAAAAUAAGCCUGAGUGGUUCUUCAAGAAGAAUCCCUCAGGCCUGGUGCCGGUUCUGGAAACCAGUCAGGGUCAAUUGAUCUGUGAAUCUGCCAUCACUUGUGAGUACCUGGAUGAAGCAUAUCCAGAGAAGAAGCUGUUGCCAGGCAACCCCUCUGAGAAAGCUUGCCAAAAGAUGGUCUUUGAGUCCUUUUCUAAGGUACCACCUUUGAUAUCGAGGAUUCUUAGAACACAAAAUAAGGAAGACUGCUCUGGCUUAAAAGAAGAAUUGCAUAAAGAAAUCACCAAGCUAGAGGAGGUUCUGACUGGUAAAAAGACAACCUUCUUUGGUGGCAAUUCUCUUUUUAUGAUUGAUUACCUCAUCUGGCCCUGGUUUGAACGGCUGGAAGCUCUGGAGUUGAAUGAGCAUGUAGACCACACUCCAGCUCUUAAGCUGUGGAUGGCAGCCAUGAAGAAGGAUCCCACAGUAUCAUCUCUCCUCACUGACGUGAAGACCUUUCAAGGUUUCUUCAACCUCUACUUGCAGAACAGCCCUGAGGCUUGUGACUAUGGUCUCUGAUGGGGACAA
Molecule: RNA transcript, 735 nt
Organism: Capra hircus (goat)
Lineage: Eukaryota; Metazoa; Chordata; Mammalia; Artiodactyla; Bovidae
Gene name: glutathione S-transferase omega-1 pseudogene
Exons: 1
Source: RefSeq, a predicted model, not a curated record